CAGCUGUAAACGAUGCAGGCUAGGUGUUAGGGCGGCCACGUGCCGCUCUAGUGCCGCAGGGAAGCUGUUAAGCCUGCCGCCUGGGGAGUACGGCCGCAAGGCUGAAACUUAAAGGAAUUGGCGGGGGAGCACCACAAGGGGUGAAGCUUGCGGUUU
Molecule: ribosomal RNA, 156 nt
Filed under: uncultured archaeon
Lineage: Archaea
Description: partial 16S ribosomal DNA
Rfam family: Archaeal small subunit ribosomal RNA
Source: RNAcentral